This 1119-nucleotide long non-coding RNA is filed under the name Gallus gallus (chicken). Lineage: Eukaryota; Metazoa; Chordata; Aves; Galliformes; Phasianidae. The record is from RNAcentral.
CAGGUCUCUUGAGACAUGCACAUAAUUUAAAUAGCUGGCUCUAGUUUCUCUUCCUAAAACACGAAAGUCCCCAGCUCUACCCUGGGGAGAAACAUCUGUAGUUUCAAUUCAAAAUGUGAAGUGUCUUGCAGUCUCCAGCAGCAGCAUCUGGCACUACUGGAAGGAGGGCAGGGGAGGGCUGCUUCUACGGGAGGCUCUGCAAGACUCUACCUGGCACAUUUCUUACCAGAACCCAUUCAUCCACAAGUCUCUCCUCAUUACCACUGCAGGCUUCCAGGCUACAGCAUGUUAGGACAGCAGAGUCUCUUCCAUCUUCAGCAUGCUGCAUUAUGAACAAGCAAUUCAAGGAUUUCUUCAAAAUUCCCCUCGAGCUUCAGGGCAGAUUUUCUGCAACUACAAAGAGACGCCCAGGAACUUCACUAUCCAUCAAACUUUUCUUAAAAACUUCUCUAUCAGGAAGGCUGCAAAAAUAAGUAAAGAAAUGAAUAUAAAAUUAAUGCUAGCCAAGGCCUACUGAGGAUCCCUGCUGCAGUGCAUGGCAAUGGUUGACUACGUGGACCAAAAGGGAACAAUGGGCAUUGGGAGGACCCCCAGCAUGGCUAUAGGAGUGGAAGAAGGAUGUUGUGCUGUCCUCAUGCCUGGCAGCACACCCAAAACGGAGAGGUGCCUGGGCAAAACCUGGCUUUGCCUGCUAACCUGCCUGCUCUACCCAGAGGCUUCUGGCUGCCUUUUGUACAGGGAAGUGGGAAGGCUGCCCUGGGCAGAAUUUGUGACAGCUAAGGAGACCUAGGAAAUCCUGCUUUCUCUGCUGAGAUAGCUCAAAACAGGAAAAGCGUUCUUCCAAGGACACAGGGGUGAGAAAUAAGCAAAUCAAAGCAAGAAAACCAAAAGAAACGUACAAAAAUAGCCCUACACACAUCCAAUACAUCAUUUUUUUCUUGUUCUUCAUUGGACCCUAUGAAGGACGGGUAUUUUGCAAGUCUGACCUGUCUCUGAGGCCCUUUACAAGUUGUUCUUCACUGACACCAUUUAAAUGAAAUGUUUGGUUACCUGUAUCCCUUGCCUCUUUGUUCUUAAAAUGUGCUCUCGUAUUUUUACUAGAAACAGUCUGUCCAAGUG